Molecule: long non-coding RNA, 1886 nt
Organism: Trichomycterus rosablanca
Lineage: Eukaryota; Metazoa; Chordata; Actinopteri; Siluriformes; Trichomycteridae
Exons: 4
Source: RefSeq, a predicted model, not a curated record
ACUACAUUACUAUAAAAAUACUAGAGCACAGCUGCUGAAGAGCUCCUGAAUUGAUUUUGAUUCCAUGAGUUUGUAUGUGGGUCAAACAUAUAUACCUACCUGCAACACCUACCUGGUAUGUACGAGGGUUCCUCAAAAAGGUUCCACACUUUUUUAAGCUCUAUUUCAAAAACAAAGUGUUACGGCCUAGUCUAGGUUAGGCUGCAACACAUAUAAGGAAAAUGGUAUAGUUAGGGGAAAAUAGACCACCAAGAACAAAAGAGUAAGUUUUAACCAAGUGUAUUUACAAUUGUGAGACAAAGCAAACCAGUAUACCUUCAGGAGUGACCCAGGCCAAAAUAACAAACAAAACACACACUAUCUAAUGUACCCACUAAAACUAGCUUCCCUAAAACAAAAGAAGAAUUAAAAUAAAAGACAAAGUACUUCCCUAACUCCCUACCUAACAUAAACAGAGCACAUAACAUAGAUGACAAACAAAAUGGCAGCCACUCCCUACCACUGGUGUACAAACAACAUAGCUAUAUACAAGUGAAUUAUUUACAUAGCAAUCUAAAUCCAAAUCAGUAAGCUUUCUCAGUAGUCACAAAUACAGGUAAAAUGGUCAUACACAGGCAACAAGGCAAUAGGCAACAGGCAAAUUUAAACAAGCAAAAGGCAAUGGGCAAAAAGGCAAACACACACAACAAGCUCCAAACAAAAGAGAGAGAGAGGCGGGGCUCCUCAGCUCCUUUUAAAGGUGAAUGGCAGAGAUGAAGACCUGGGGUGGAUCUGGAUCCAGGAGGGUGGGAGGUAGACUCUGGACUGGAUCCUGGAACAGAAACAUAUAUACAUAUACAUAUACAUAUACAACACAACAUUUUAUGGACAUGACACCUCCCCCCAUAAAGUUGAACUUUACAAAAGUUCAUUCAAGGGUCAUAACAACGUGACAAGGCAUCAGCUACAAUAUUUUCAGAGCCCUUUUUGUGAAGGAUAACCAAAUUAAAACCUUGAAUAAUUAGCGACCAGCGCAUAAGGCGUUGGUUUGUGUUUGACAUGCGUUGAAGAAAAACCAGGGGAUUGUGAUCUGUGUAAACUGUGAUGGGAACCAAACUACUACCUAAAUAAACCUCGAAAUGUUGCAAGGCGAGAAGAAGAGCUAAAGCCUCUUUCUCGAUGGUACUAUAAGCAAGUUGGUGUUUGAUGAAUUUUCGGGAGAAAUAACAAAUAGGAUGAUCAAUUUGGUGAUUGUCCUCUUGUAAUAGGACAGCGCCGGCACCCGUUUUGCUAGCGUCCACUUCCAUUUUAAACGGCUUAUCAAAAUCAGGUGUGGCAAGAACAGGAGAACUACUCAAUAAAGCCUUCAAGGAAUCAAAAGCAGAUUUGCAAGCAGAGGACCAGACAAACGGGACAUUCUUACCUAAAAGGUGCUGGGAAGGAGCUAAUAGCUUGGAUCUUUGCAUCAAGAGGUCGUACAGUACCAUUACCAACAGUUUUUCCAAGGAGCAUAUUCCAAUAUUGAGGCGACAGCUAACACCUUAGGCGAAGAAGGUGAGGGCAAAGACCCAGAAAGAUCGCCCGUAUCAAUGGAACUGCGAUCAAGGUAGGGUUUCAACAAAUUCACAUGACAUAUGCGAGUCUUACUACGGCGAUCUGGAGUUGCUAAUAUAUAGUUACUGUCAGUUUGCUUUUCAAUUAUUUUAUAGGGACCGGAGAAUCUGGUUUGCAAAGCGGAACCAGCAACAGGUGACCAGAGAGAUGGUGAUCAUGAGCCAAAGACAAAACUAAGGACCUGUAUGGAAGAGGAACCACAAUCUGUUUAACAGUCUCACAUUCACUGCUUGAACUUACAGGAGACCAGGACCUCAUCAAUACUCCAUCCUUAAUAAAGUAUUGUGAACGAC